Molecule: unclassified non-coding RNA, 375 nt
Filed under: uncultured Terriglobia bacterium
Lineage: Bacteria; Pseudomonadati; Acidobacteriota; Terriglobia
Description: uncultured Acidobacteriia bacterium contains 16S-23S intergenic spacer region
Source: RNAcentral
UCCCCGUUAUCCGAGGCGGUUCCCCUAGGGUGCUUCCCUUGCGGGCGAGCAACUAAGGGUAAGGGUUGCGCUCGUUGCGGGACUUAACCCAACAUCUCACGACACGAGCUGACGACAGCCAUGCAGCACCUAUAUGGAAGUCCCUUGCGGGAAAGCCUCAUCUCUGAGACGGUCAACCACAUUUCGAGUCCAGGUAAGGUUCUUCGCGUUGCGUCGAAUUGAACCACAUGCUCCACCGCUUGUGCGGGCCCCCGUCAAUUCAUUUGAGUUUCAGCCUUGCGACCGUACUCCCCAGGCGGAACACUUAAUGCGUUAGCUUCGGCACGCCCCGAAACCGGGGCACACCCAGUGUUCAAUGUUUAGGGCUAGGACUAC